CUUUGGGUCCCCUCUUCCUGCUCUGCUCAGAUCAGCAAGAUCAGGUUUUACAGCUGAGGACACUUCACAACAUGCUAAACUUACUGCUGGCAUCUACACGACCAAGAGAAAAUGCUGCAGUAGGAGGGUCUUCCCCUGUGGCAUCACCAAAAGGGGAUUGGAAAAGGCAUUGAGAAACUGGAAAAAAUGACAUAUAAUAUGUAUAUCCAGACUGGUAAGGAUGUUUUCCUUUUGUUUUUCCAUAAGAAAACAAAUUUCAGACCAAUGAAAAAACCU
RNAcentral lists this long non-coding RNA (276 nucleotides) under Papio anubis (olive baboon). RNAcentral's name for it is "lncRNA (ENSPANG00000044372.1)". The record is from RNAcentral. Lineage: Eukaryota; Metazoa; Chordata; Mammalia; Primates; Cercopithecidae.